This is a non-coding RNA of Camellia sinensis, 1935 nucleotides long. The record is from RefSeq and is a predicted model, not a curated record. Lineage: Eukaryota; Viridiplantae; Streptophyta; Magnoliopsida; Ericales; Theaceae.
CAAAAAUCUUUUUUAAAAAAUGGGCUUAUAAUGAGUAUAGCCGAACAAACCAGGUUCGAGUUGUAUGUGCUGUUAACCUGGAAACAUACACGGUGCAAGACAAUUAAGGGGCUGUAACCAGACAAAGAGUUUAUUGCACGCGGCUAUAAAAUGGAGACUAGGGUUUUUUGGGUAGGGCACGGAGGGUGCGACGAACAAGGAGAAGGGAGGGAGAGUUGCGGUAAUUCCCGCCGUUAUUGCUGGAGGUUAUGUCGGUUGUCGCGCUGCCAAGUUAAACUAGAAACAAAAAUCAAAUCAAAUAAAAACUGAUGGCCUGUCCUUGGAUCAAGCAAGGAUUUUUCGGUAGUGUUUUUUGAUUGGUUCCUUACCCAGCCAAAUCCUACAUCAUUCUGUUACAAUCUUUGAAGAGGAUAAGAGAAACUCACUUUUACUAGAAAAGAAAAGAAACGUCAAUAACUUACUUACCAGAAGACACAUACAUUGUUGAGAGGCUUUUAAAGAGCUUUCUGAAUUGCCAUUUUUGGAAAGAAACUAUUAUAUAUUGGGAAGGACCCUUGCUUAUUGUUGAGACUUCUUGAUUCAUGAUUUGUAUGUAAAUAUUUUGCUUUUAAUAAUUUAUCUACGUUGACAAUAUAUUUAGUUCCAUUACUUGAUUUGUCUAGGCCAAAAGUCCUUGUGCAUCCUGGAAAACAGUAAUCUCAGUAGAACAAAACUUCAAUGAAAAAAAAAUUAAGAAGGGAAUGAGAGAAUCAUGACAUAAUCCCUCUACAUUUUCAUCUCCGUGUGUGCCUUCCACUCAUGUACAAGUAACAAAGUUCAAAUUGAGGAAGUAGAUCUCUUCCUCCCAUCAUCUAUUAUAAACCAUGACCAUUAUCUAAUUUUCUUAAUUUCUUUAGGUUUUCUUUUUGUGGGUCGUGUUGCAUUCUUUUGUAUGGAAUAGCACUUGCUUUUUUUUUAAAAUAUCAAUCAAUUUGGAUUUCAUCUUUGUAUCUAAUGAGUUGGGGUCUUCUAUUGUUUUGUGUUUUUUUGUUUUUUUUUGUCAACUACCAUAUUAAAUGGGUCUGAAUCAAACUGUAGUCAGUGCAUUUUUCUUCAUAUCAGGACUUCAAAUGAUUCCUGCAUACAUACCGUGUGAACUUUAACUACCACCUAUCUCACGAUCCAAACCCGCCCCUAGAGGCUUAGGUCAUGACCGGCCAGUAAUUCCAGAUUACCUUUGGCCUCAAUAACAAAAUCAUAUCAUUAUAUAUAAUCGGGGAAUAGCGGAAGCAAUAACAAAAUAUAAUUAAGUUCAAUGAGCAGUGCUUAUAUGAUAACUUCAUAAUAGAUCAAGUCAUUCAUUAUACCAUAAUAUAAAUAAUAAUAAAAAAUCUUUUUGAGCCAUGCUCGAUUUUCAUUAAUAUUAACGAGGCAACUCGAGCUCGAACCUAGUUAGUUAUUGAGCAGAGCGUGAGCUCAAUAAAUGAGUUUGGUAAGCAAAUGAGUUGAGUUCGAGCUCAGCAAAACUCGACUAGGCUUGUUUGCAGUCCUACCUAGGAGUGUGGAUUAAACUACACUUUAAAAGUGUGAGGUGGUCAUUGGAGUACCACUGGAAAUCUCCUAGAGAGAGAAGCUUUCACCGUUCUUUGGAACUGGUAAUAAAAAGUACAUUUAGGGCCUGUUUGAUUUGGAGUAAUAGAUUGACUGUGCAACUCAAUUAGUAGGAUAAAUAUGUGUAGGAUUAUUAAUACUUAUCUCCAUAUAGUAUUGAAUAUUCCUUGAUUUUGUGGGAUUAGAAGUACUACGUAUUACUUGGCCGGCCAUCAUUUAUGUCAUCCAAACGUAAAAAUAUGCAUAUCAUUGGAUUAACAAUCCAAUUUUAUGCUCUAAUACUGGAAUCAAAUAGGCUCUUAGAUUAAAUGCAUUUAAAAAGUAAAAAUAAUUUACUAAAAUACA